GGCCUGCUUAAAGUUUUCUUUACAUCGUUGAAUGAGUCUCUGUGUUGUCAAUCCCCGACACCCUCCGCACGUUCUCAGACACAGGCUGCGCGGCAGAUGUGACAGAUAGCACUUGAAAACUGGUCAAUUUCUUCCCCGUGUCGACAGAGGAAAGCCAACAGCUCUGAGACUUGUUGCGUGUAGCACCUGGAGGAGAUGGCCAUUCUUAGAUGACUCCAAACCAGAUGAUUCUGACCCCCCAGGAGGAAGCCAGCUGCCAUGUCACGAGGUCACUCAAGUGGCCUUAUGGAAGAGUCCUCAGAGCCAGGAACAGACACCUCCUGUCAACUUGCCAGCCCUGUAGAUGAGCCUUGGAAGCAGAUCGCUCAGCUAGGAACCUUCAGAUGGCUGCAGCACCAAGUGACAUGGUGACUCCCACCUCAGGAGUAGCUCCAAGCCACAUCUGCCCACUCAAGCCACUCUCUGUUUCCUGACCCACAGAAACUGUGCAGCUAUUAGAUUUGGGUACAAUCUGUUAGGCAGUGAUAAUCCACCCUUCAGCUUUGCAGCCAUCUAGGAAGGCUUGGGGACCAGUCUGGCUUUGGGAGGAGCAAUUUACUCUAAGCCAAUUUAAUUUCCUUUCAUGAUGAAGUGGCCUGGCGCGUGGAUAAGGGAGUCAUAAGUGUAUCUCCUGCCUCCGGAGGGCUUUUAAUUUGAUACCACAUGCCACUCUCAUCAACAUGCACGGGGGUAGGGGCUGAGCAGCGGUUCAUUGAUUUGGCCCUGGGAGAAUGGAUUCUGUAGCUAAUUCAGGACUCCAGAGAGGCCAAACAAGGGAUUACUGCUGUGGCUAGAAUGUGUCACCCCAAAUUCAUGUUCUGGAAUGGAAUCCCACUGUAAGUUUGGGAAGUGGUGCCUUUUGGAAGAUGUCUUGGGAGGAGGGCGUGAAGAUGCUGCCCCGUGGAUGGAUUAAUAACAGUAUAAAAGGACUUCCAUCUUGUCUUUACUGACGGCCACUUCCUGGUCUUCACCAGCCUUUGAAUCUGUCAGCACCUUGAUGUUGGACUUUGAAGACAUGAGAUAUGUGAGAAAUAAAUUCCUAUUGUAUAUAAAUUA
Molecule: long non-coding RNA, 1095 nt
Organism: Mesocricetus auratus (golden hamster)
Lineage: Eukaryota; Metazoa; Chordata; Mammalia; Rodentia; Cricetidae
Exons: 2
Source: RefSeq, a predicted model, not a curated record